GACAUUUACAAGAACUGGCGGCGGCAGCAGCAGCAGCAGCAGCAGCAGCAGCAGCAGCAGCAGCAGCAGCAACUGGAUUUGCUUUUUCACCAGAGGAUCCAGAUUUCCCUGUGGCCUCGCAAACAAAAAAGAAGGAAGACGGAGCAGCACAGUCAUUCCUUUGUGAAAAAGGCAUUCAGAGACGGGGUUUCACCGUGUUAGCCAGGAUGGUCUCGAUCUCCUGACCUCGCGAUCCGCCCGCCUCGGCCUCCCAAAGUGCUGGGAUUACAGGCGUGAGCCACCGCGCCCGGCUUCAGCUGGUUUUUCAAAAGUCAUGGCGUGUAACUGUCCGAACAGUGAACUUCGGAGAUCCACCGGAGGGGCGAGGCCACAGCUCGACCGCGAGCACCUGAGCAUCCUGCACCGCCUGCGACGGCCGUCAGGGGGCGCGAUGCCGCCUCACAGAACCUCAAGAGGCGCCCGGGUUCCGGCACAGACGGCCUGCGGCUCCAGGGGGCGGAACCGAGCCGUCUCCUCAGGACCUACGCAGGAGGCGCCGUCAUCCCUACAGGGACACCUGAGAGGGCCCAGCCUCCUCCUCCUCAGGACCUACUCGGGAGACGCCGCUGGCUCUCUAGGAACACCUGGGGACCGUGGCCAGGGACGACCCAGCCUCCUUCUCCUCAGCUCCUCAGGAACGACUGGGGAAGCUGUGGCUUCAUGGUCCCCGAGGCUGCCCGAGGAAAGACAGAGUCUCAACCAGGCUGGAGUGCAGUGGCGUGAUCUCGGCUCACUGCAACCUCCGCCUCCCAGGAGAAUCACUUGAACUGGGAGAUGGAGGUUGCAGUGAGCUGAGAUCGCACCAGUGCACUCCAGCCUGGGCAACAGAGUGAGACUCCAUCUUAUAAAAGGAAAAAAGAAAGAAAAGAAAAAUUCCAUAUCUGAGUGUUUACUCCUGAGUUUUUGAGAUUGUUAUUAAGAU
This is a long non-coding RNA of Homo sapiens (human), 961 nucleotides long. RefSeq annotates it as family with sequence similarity 157 member C. Lineage: Eukaryota; Metazoa; Chordata; Mammalia; Primates; Hominidae. The transcript is spliced from 4 exons. The record is from RefSeq and is marked validated.